AUGGUCCAGACAAGGAAAAAACCCCAACUGGACCAACUAACAACCAGGGAAACCAAUACACAACUAAACCGUACAAUCUAUUAUGAUUUCUACACAAUUGGAAGGCCACGGGCGCACCGCAGCCAUCUAGUGUCCUCUACAUCAAGGGCGGCUCAGCCUGGAUGUACAGGCAACAAUAAAUGGUGGAUAGGAAGCCUGGCAUGGAAGAAGAAGGAAGGAAACUUCAGCAGCCCAAGAGAGCAUCGACUGGCCUCCUUUUCGGGUGAGCACAGCUCACGGCACGAUAUGAUCAUCAUCUGGGGGGAAAUAAGUUAA
RNAcentral lists this ribosomal RNA (315 nucleotides) under Triticum aestivum (bread wheat). Its description in RNAcentral is "partial small subunit ribosomal RNA". Lineage: Eukaryota; Viridiplantae; Streptophyta; Magnoliopsida; Poales; Poaceae. The record is from RNAcentral.